GUGGGGAAUAUUGGACAAUGGGCGCAAGCCUGAUCCAGCCAUGCCGCGUGUGUGAAGAAGGCCUUCGGGUUGUAAAGCACUUUUGUCCGGAAAGAAAGCGAAUCGGCGAAUACCCGGUUUGGAUGACGGUACCGGAAGAAUAAGCACCGGCUAACUUCGUGCCAGCAGCCGCGGUAAUACGAAGGGUGCAAGCGUUACUCGGAAUUACUGGGCGUAAAGCGUGCGUAGGCGGUCUGUUAAGGCUGCUGUGAAAUCCCCGGGCUCAACCUGGGAAUGGCAGUGGAAACUGGCGGGCUAGAGUACGGUAGAGGAUGGUGGAAUUCCCGGUGUAGCGGUGAAAUGCGUAGAGAUCGGGAGGAACACCAGUGGCGAAGGCGGCCAUCUGGACCAGUACUGACGCUGAGGCACGAAAGCGUGGGGAGCAAACA
Molecule: ribosomal RNA, 428 nt
Filed under: uncultured bacterium
Lineage: Bacteria
Description: bacterial SSU rRNA
Rfam family: Bacterial small subunit ribosomal RNA
Source: RNAcentral